GUUAAUGAGCUUGAACAAGCAUAUGUUUUGAAAACAUAAGAUAGAUUGCCCCUCUAUUAACUU
Molecule: transfer RNA, 63 nt
Filed under: Noteridae sp. MJTNT-2012
Lineage: Eukaryota; Metazoa; Arthropoda; Insecta; Coleoptera; Noteridae
Description: tRNA-Ser
Source: RNAcentral